This 365-nucleotide ribosomal RNA is filed under the name uncultured eukaryote. Its description in RNAcentral is "partial 18S ribosomal RNA". It matches the Rfam family "Eukaryotic small subunit ribosomal RNA", at positions 592 to 976 of the family's 1831-position model. The record is from RNAcentral.
CAACAGCGUAUAUUUAAGUUGUUGCAGUUAAAAAGCUCGUAGUCGGAUUUUGGCUGAGAACGAACGGUCCGCCGUUAGGUGUGCACUGUUUGGUCUCAGCUUCCUGGUGAGGAGGUGUGCUUCACGGCCACUUAGUCACCGUGGUUACUUUGAAAAAAUUAGAGUGUUCAAAGCGGGCUUACGCUUGAAUAUAUUAGCAUGGAAUAACACCAUAGGACUCCUGUCCUAUUUCGUUGGUCUCGGGACGGGAGUAAUGAUUAAGAGGAACAGUUGGGGGCAUUCGUAUUUCAUUGUCAGAGGUGAAAUUCUUGGAUUUAUGAAAGACGAACUUCUGCGAAAGCAUUUGCCAAGGAUGUUUUCAUUGA